CUGUCAUCUUCAAAUGGUUCGUUUAGAUGGGUGCGGCGGAUGUGGAAGAGUUAUUCGCCGUCUAAAGGCUUUUACCGUUGGCAUUUGCAGUCAACAACUUGUUGGGAGAAACAGAUUGCACUUUCAUUCACUGGAUGAUGUGGUUUUCAAGUGGGUUUCUUUUUGAAUGAUGAAUUUAGAGACUAUUGUCUCACAGGUAUUGCCCACCUGAAAGAGGCAGAGAUUUAAAAAGAAAAGCUUAACUAGUUCAGGAAUCUGAAAGAGCAGUUUGUAAGGCUUUUGUAAUUUUCAGCAAGGGACUCUACAGGGGACAUAAAACUACUGCUGCAAGGGCAGUAGUUAUUGUUUGUUUUUAGACUUUGAGUUUGAGUUAAUGAGUGAGGAAGACAUCUUCCGCCUUCUGGGGCUUGCAUACUCCAGCCCCUCAGCCAGCGACCUCAGUGAAGGUGUAUCAGACAUGAGUCUGUCUACUUCCCCAGGGAGUGAUGGACCACAACACUUACUCAACACCAGAGUUGUGUCCAAUGGUCAUGCAGACCAUGGCACUGAAGGAGGGAGCUCUGGCAGUGGGGGUGGAAGUGAAAGUGCCCCAAAACCACGCAGGAAGACAAUUGCUCGCCAACUCUCUUCCAACCCUUACCUCACGAGUGCUUCUUCAAUUGAGGAUCACAUGAGUUUGACACCAGCCUCGUCUUUUGCUUUUGGGGAGAAUGCACCUUAUGAAGAUCCCAAAAUCCCCAUGCGUGCCUCAUCUUUUCCUGUUGCUGGGGAGGUGUUGGAAAACUAUUCUUACCAGCAACAUCAAUUAAACCAAAUCCGCAACCUCAGCCACAUAGAACAACCUGGGGAACUGAAUCAGUAUUACACUAAUGUUGUCAAUGGCAAUAACACUCUUCCAAGAGGAAUAAAUUCUUGGGGACACUUUUCCAAGAGCUGUCACAAUCGGUACAAGUAUCGACGUAGUGAUUAUUCAAGUGAUAGUGAGGAGGAUGCUCUCUCUCCAAACCCCUCCCAGCUUCCUCACAAACUUAGUGCAGGCUUCUCUGGACAAGCGCCACAUACCUGCCUCUCUGAUCUGCAACAUGUUACAACUGUCAUUAACCGUAAAAAAAGUGCCAUGGACAUAAAGAAAGAUCAUAACCAUUAUUCAGAAGGAGUUCGCCCAAGUGUGUUCAAGGAGAGAUUUGCAAUGAUGAAAAGGUGGUUUUCAGAAUGCAGUCAUGAGCAAAAAAACAUUGUCUUAAAAGGGUUACUGAGUGUAUGUGACUUGCCACAGCUACAUCUCUUGUCAGUUCGCAUGGAGACGAACCUUCACAGGGGCUGCCCUCCAAAUUGUCAGGAUUUUCUGACUUGGCUGCCCACCCCUCUUGCUGCCAAAAUUAUGACAUACCUUGACCCAGUGAGCUUGUGCCAGGCAGCACAAGUGUGUAAGCAUUGGCAGCAGCUAGCAGAAGAGCCGUCUUUGUGGCGGCGGUUUUGCUGCCAAGCUAAAUGGCGUCUGUCGAAGGCAGCAGAACACAAGCAAGUAAUCAGCCACAUGUCUGCAGAGGGAAGCAUUCAAUGGAAGCAAGUGUUUGCUGAGAGGUUCAGAUUGCGUAACAACUGGCUUGCAGGCAGAUGCACUGUUCGAACUUUUGAAGGCCACACCCAAGGAAUUUCCUGUGUGCAAUUUGAUGAUAAUAGAAUUGUCAGUGGAUCUUCAGACAAAACUAUUAAGGUUUGGAACAUUCGCACAAAUGCUCAGUGGUCAGUGCAGACACUGGUUGGACACAGUGGCACGGUUCGAUGUUUACAUUUGGAAGGAAAUCGGCUAGUCAGUGGAUCAAGUGACAAGACCAUCAAGGUAUGGGACUUGUCAACCCAAGACAGCUGGUCAAGCAUUGCCUGUAAAGUGACCAUGAUUGGACAUAGAGACACCGUGCGUUGCCUGCAAGUAGAUGAUGAUAAGGUUAUCAGUGGCUCAUAUGACAUGACGCUGAAAAUCUGGGAUCUUCGCACUGGCCAGUGUCGUAAAACUCUAGUGGGCCAUCAGGCACCUGUGCUGUGUGUCUACUUCAAUGACACGAAGAUUGUCUCAGGGUCAGGAGACAAAACAAUAAAGCUGUGGAACUAUGAAGGAACGUGCACAAGAACUCUAGCAGGCCAUCAGGAUGCUGUUACAUGCUUACAGUUUGACUCCACACGAAUUGUCAGUGGUUCACUUGACUGUACCCUCAAGUUUUGGGACAUUCAUACUGGAGAUUGCAUUAACACUAUUGACUGGAAGGUAGCAGAAGGUCAUACAGGAGUUGUGAGAUGUCUUCAGGCAGACAGUUGGCGUGUUGUCAGCGCGGCUGAUGAUAAGACCCUUAAGGUGUGGUCUCUGGAGACUGGAGAGCGACUGGUUACAUUAAGAAACCACUCAGAUGGAGUAACUUGCCUGCAGUACAAUGAUUUUAUCAUCGUUUCUGGGUCUUACGACAAAACUGUCAAACUCUGGGACUUCAGCUGUUGUUGACAGCUCAUACUUUGGCUAAGCCAACCAAUGUUGUGGACAUAGAGUAAACUGGGUGUGCACAUCUCUUUGCAGUGCUAGCCUGUCCAGUGAUGUGUUUAUGCUCAGCAAGCCACAUUCAUUGGACUACUUGCCCACUUGGAUUAGAUCACUAUACCAAAUCAUUUACUCAGGAACCACUGGCUUGAUUUUGAUAUCUAUUUUAGUGCAUUGUUGAGACUGUUGUUGCUGAUUUGUUUUACAUCACAUUAGUGAACAACUCUUGGAUUAUGCUUUUUUUUAAUGUUGUGUGGCUACAUCAUUUUACGUUAUGACACGAUUCUGCAUUUAUAUUCAUUAAGUGUUUACUCCAGUGAGACAAAACUCGACAUCAGAUCAAUGGGACAGAAUGUCACCAAGAAAAGCUUAGGCAUAUCCAAAUAAGUUGUAAACCAUUUUGAUUUCUGGAAUUGAUGCAGAGUGAUGAAAUCCAAACAACAAAAAAAAAAUUACUGCAUAAUGAGCAAAAUUGCAUCACCAUGAAGUUUAGAAUAUAUUCAUUUUAGGCUGGCUUUGUUUGUCUCAUUUUAAAGAGUUUUCACUGAAUUAGCAAUUUAUGUGCCUUUUUUCCUGCUUUCUCAACACCCACUUGUCAUUAUGCCUAGUUUGGUGUCAGUGCAUCUGCUGAAGUAUUGUUUACACAAUUGUCUUGAGCUUGCAGUUUUUAUCUGAUAUAUCCAGCAGUCAUUGUCAGACCACUUGAUCCCAGAAGAAUAUGAGAUCCCACUGAUUCCCCCAACCCCACCCUCCAAAAAAACCCCAAAAACAUAAAAAAGCAAGAAAUAUUGUUUAAGUAUGGAUGCACACACGCCCACAUGCAUGCACACACCCUUUUGACCCAGAAAAAAACUAUUGACUCGUCAAUCAUUUUGUUAAUUCAUUUAAUGUUUACCUUAAAAUUAUAUCGAACAAGAUUUUUUUUUCCCCAAAGCAGUGGUUUAGGAACCAGGGGAGCAAGGAAGGGCAGCACCCCUCAAAAAAAAAAUAUACUGAGGAGGCAAGAAUGUGAAUGUCAUUCAGUCAUCAUGGAGUUUACCUUGCCUCACCCCCACUCCCACCUCAAUGCUGAACAUCUUCCUAUGCCACUGCAAACAUGAUAGUAAUAAACACAAGAUUUAUAUAGUCCAUAACUCACACUUGUGAGGAGCAUGCACUUAGUCCUUGAGACAAGAAUAGAUUACAAAGGGCUGAAGGAUAAAUAACAGUGGUGAUUAUAUAGAAUAUAGACAUCAUUAUUUUCAUUUUCUGAACAUCAUGUGCAAAUAAUAGUUAGAAACUUUACUGAUAUCUUAGAAAAUCCAUUAUUCUACAUUUGUAAACAUUUUUGACCAAGAGUUUUGCCAUUUUAACAUUAGCAUGAAAUCAAGAUUUUGCUUCCUAAUAACUCCAAAACAAAAACUUGCUGAUUUAAAGAAAUUAAAUGUUAAAGAAGAUUAUGAGAUUAAGUAGUUGUUAUUAUCCUUAUUGCCUAUUUUGAGCAUAAGAUUUCAACACAGCCUCUCCCAGCAUACGGUCUUUGAAAGGUGAAGUUGUUAGUGUAAAAAUACUAUAUUUUAAAAUUAAAAAAAACAAAACAAGUGCGCCUCUUGCACACAGCCAUGCACACAAUGCUAAAAAAUAAAACAGCUUUAUGUUCUUAGUCUUCAGCUUUAUUUUGGAUAAAUAAACUAUCAUGUAAGAAUGAAGUGACUGAUACAUUAUUUCCAAAAAAGCAGGCAUAUAUGCUAAAGCAUAUUGUACAGAUUAAACCAAAAAAACAACAGAGAACUUGAAAGGUGGGUUAACGAGAACCAGAUGUCUUCCAUGCAUAAAAGAUAUAUGCAUUUUCUACAGACUGCAUAAUCACAAUCUUCAGGAGGGAUUUGAAUUCUUUUUAGCAGCUUUGAAGGCAAGGUUGUUUUUUGAACAUGGUUGUCAUCAGAAUUAUUCCUUGGAUAGGUUUUGCUUCUUCUACUUCCGCUUUCAACAUCUGUGCAGUGAGAUCCUCUUGUCAGGGGAUGCCACAAAGCUGGAAGAGAUCAUUUCCUAACCUCCAGAAUUGGGUGUGAAGGUCCACUCCAUUUGGCCAUAGCUCCUGAUGCUUUACCUUGGAGUUUGCUUUGGGUGGUCGUAUUCUCACUGGACUGAGCCUGCAUGCAAGGGGAGUGGAGACAGCUUUUUCAUUUUCUACCCCUGUGUGGGGACUUAAAGAUUACUUCUUUUGUUUAUAUCGGCCAUUUUUAGACUGGGGCAGAAUUCAUCCAGAAUUAGAUGCAGCCCCAGUUUUCCAUUUCUUUCCGUUGAUAACUUUCUGUAGCCUAUAGGUCACUGCUGGUGUGUUUGGACAAAGUCCACAUUGCCAGUCAUCCCCAUGCAGGCUGUUGGAGAAUUACUUGGAGAUGAAUUAUGUGAUGUUAUUUCUGAACAUCAGCAACAAUGUAGGGACACCCUCAUGUAGUGUAAUUUUCUUGCUGUGGAAUCUAUCAUGUUGACUACUCUUGCAGCUCUUUUAAGCAGCAUGGCAGAUCCACCUACAGAUGUUGCACACUCUUGAAGUAGACCCUGAAUGUCUUUUUCUCUUCUUGCAAAGAGUUAUUAAAGACAUUGUCAAUUAGGAAAUUAAUUGCUGCCCUGACCCUCCUGUUUAAGCCUUGGUGUAAGUCAAAGGAAGUAAAGAAAGCUUCAUACACACACCCUUUAAAGUGCUUAUUUUCAUUCUGCCUAUGGCAAUACUAAUAUUUAGAUGGAUUAAGUGUUUUUGGAAAAAAGAUAUGAUCAUUAGCAAAACUAAUAGCUGUUGAUUUUGUCCCUGAAUAAAAAAUGUUACGUCGUUAAGUGAAUUAGCAGUGUUCACAUUUGGGUCAAAUAUUGCCCUUUUUUGUGGGCACACAUGUAGUGUGCAUUAUAUAUGUGUGUGUGUGGAUGCAUCAAAACUUUUCAAUUGUAAGAUUUUAGGUAAGCUUUGCAUAUAGAACUGUUAAAUAUUCCUUAAGAAACACUCAUUUUCUUAUAGUGCAAAGUGGAUUAGAUAACAGUGGGAAAUUAAUGUAGUAAAUGCAUCCCAUUAUACUUUAAGUAUGUCAAACAAUUUAACAAUAAAUUAUGGAGUAAUUAUUUUGAAAAAUCUAAGAAGCAAAUGUCUAAUUCUUGUUUAGUAUAUUCCACAAAACCAUGUAAGAGUUUUGUUCAGAUUUCUUAAACCUUCCUAACAGUAUAUGUUUUAGGGUGGAAGAAGAGAAAGGAGCAAAGAGGGGUGCGGAGGUGGGAAAACUGGCACAAGUUCAUGUGCAUUCUCCAUUUCUGAUGCAUUAGAUCCUCAUUUUUGUGCCAUAAUGGUGUGUGCAUAAUUUGUGGCAAUAUGCCACGUGUCAGAUGACUCAAUGGGCUUUUCAAAAUAAAUACUGGCACAGAGGUAGGGACCCCUGAGAUCAUUCAAAACAAACUUUAAGAGCAGAACACAUAUAGACUGGCUGAAUACUGAGAUUUCCCAGUACUGAAACUGGCAACUAAUUGUUGACUUUAUCUAAAUGAAAUUCACAUUGUUCCUUUUUUCUGUGAAAUGCUUUUCAAUGCUCUAUCUUUCCUUUCUUUUUUUCUUGAGCACCCAGUCGUGUGUGCAAGUUUAUAUAUAUACACACACAUAUUACUGAAAGCACAGUUAGUAUCAUGGUGGUAAGCAUUCCACGAUUGUUCUUCCUGUCAUCAUCCUUGAAGAAGUGAAAGACAUAUUGAAGGUCUUAAAAUGGUCAAGAAAGAGGUUUUCUUGAACUACUACAUAUUAUGUAACAUAUUGGAGAAAUUGCAGGAAUUAUCAUAACUUAUUUUGGAGAUUUAUUGCUAAUUAAGCAGUAGGAAAGGACAAUUUCAUGUUCCAUUAAGUAAUAUCUAUACACUAUAUUAGUAUUUGUCUAUAAUUAUAAAAUAAGUGAAAGGUAUCAAAAACUGUAAAAUGGGAUCAAGACAAACAAAAAGCAAAACGAACAUUUAAGAAUUAGAUCAAGACAGUUCCUGGCUCAGUCAAAGUAACAUGAUUUAACCAAGAAACAAAACAAAACAAACAAAAAAGCAUGGCAUCUUAGGUAAACCAUAAAUCAUUCAUUCUAUAGUUAAGUAGAAAAUGUUAUCAGGGUGUUGUUGACUCCAAAGGGAGUUUAUCUUGUGCUGAUGAUAGUGGGUAGGAGGUGAUAUAAGCAAUAAAAUCUGAUAGUUUGAAAAAUUAUAUUGCAUAUGUGGGUGCAUGCCAGACCAGAAAUCUCCAAAAUCCUGAAUCAUGAAAAGGAGUUCAUGCUUGAGCAUUGGUCAAUUGCUAACCAACUACCAGGGAAUCUGAAUCCACCUUAAGACAUUUAGUGUGAUUGCAGCAACCUGCAAGGAAGCAGAACCAAAAUAUCUUUCUCAUAAUAUAAAGCUCCAAGGAAAAUUGGUUGUAAAAUCCAUAGAUUAAAUUGGGAAUUAAGAUCAAAUAAGACCUAGUAUGCAAGAUACAAAAAUUUGAAGGACUUUCAUCUCUUACAAAAAUUAUUUAUGAGAAGUAUAAGUGUUGACAAGAAAGACUAUUUCCUGGGGUCUUUUAUCCUUCCAGCUCUGCUGGGAACUUUGCCAGAAGUGUUUCUUUUUCUACUCUUCAUUGGCUUAUGACAUGGGUAAAAUAUCUUGUAUCAAGCAGCUUCUGAAUUGACCGACAGGUUUUAUGUUCUCAUACAUUGACAUUGUGGAAGCGAAGAUGGAAGGAAGGCAUUUUCCUUGAUUUGUUUUCAUAGUGUUAUCAAAUUACUUUAUGCAUCACCUGUGCUUGAACAGAACCCAUUCAGCAUAGAAAUUAAAAAAUGUUCACAAACACUUAUGGCUCAGGUGAGAUGCAUUUAGGACAAUGUGAACAAUCCUUCCAAGAUAGACCCACCUGUCUUGUGGAUCAAGGCUGUGGUUAAUGAGUAGCAGAGUUUAAUUUUAUCCCAACUUAUUUUGAAAUAUGUGAUUUUAGAAAAGAGAUCUACUGCAGCAGAACAGAAAAUUCGCUAUGCAGUUCAUAUAGCUGUGUAGAUUUUUUUUGUGGGGGAAAACUGUUAAACCUUAUGAAAGAAGUUGGGUCAGCAUAGGCAGAUUUUUUUUUACGCUAUGAAAAAUGGCUUGGCUUGUCUUCACCUGUAUAUAAAGAUAGCUUUUAUAUUACAUUGAUUGCAAUUAUUGUGACACUUAAGCAUUCCUAUGUACCUGAAAGAAUAUUUUGCUGUUGCAAUGUAAAGAGUUAAAGUACACCAAAAUUUGGCAAGGCUUGCAAUCUGGCUGUGAUUAUCCUGUUUACUAUGGUUGUAAAAGGGUGUGGAAAUAUGCAGUUUCCUGUGAUUGAUGGUUUUUGUUCUUUUUUGCUAAAACUGCUGGCUAGUGUCAUAUAAUGCACCUCAGGCCAAUGUUCUAUACUAUUUUCACCAGGAGAAAUAUGGAAUCAAUUUUCUGCAUAAUUCAUCUGUUCUAACAUCAUUAUAAUUCAUCUGUACCAACAUCAUUAUAAAGCAUUUGGCAUGUACUGCUUGCUUUUUGAAGGCAAAAGCAAGACAAACUAAAAUGCUUGGCAUCAAAUGAGACAGGGAUAAAUUUGUGUUGUUGGUGAAAAUUCAUAAACAAGCGAAAGCGAUGGCUUUAGCAUGCAGAUUUGAAGUGGGAGAUUGGAUUCAUGCAAAAUCCAGCAGUUUGUUUAGUCAUUGGGAACUUCCUUUGUUUUCCUAAAUAGGAACAUGAUCUGAUUGUCAUUUAAGCAACACAUUGCUGAGCAGAUUAAAAAAAAAAGAAAUUAGGGAAGAAACAUCAGCUGUUACAACUAAAACUUUUAUAAUAAUAUUAAAUUAUAUUUAGUCUGUUCAUUACAUUUGUAUGAACUCAUCUUUUCAAAUUUUGUUUGAGGAGGGGUGUACAAAGAAUUCAUAGAUUUGUUCAAGUACUAUUUACUGAAGAAUUUUUGUGAGACUUUUCCCUCUUAUCUCUUGAGCAAGUGCCUAUAUCUGUUGGGCUAAAGUGAUUUACUAAAGAUUAAAUGAAUUAACAUGAAGAAAUGUGGCAAGAUUAAUGGACAAAUAUUAUUUUGUGUGGACAAACAUUCUUUUCUUGCACUUGUCAUAAAAUUUUUUAGGGUUCAGCAGGUUUAUUUUUCGUAAAAUAGAUAUGUAUAAGAAGCAAAUGUUUUGUAUCUGUUAAAAGAAACUAUAAACUGAUUAAAAUUCACUUUUCCUGAAUUUCGGAACAGUUCAAUCUCUUGUGGCCGUAGUCUGGAUCACCGCAAGAACAAAUUUGAACAAAUAGUAUAGAGUUGUGUGACUUGGUUCUAUUUUGUAACUGCAAAAUUACAAACCUUCCAUACAUUUGACCAUAAUGAAUGUUUCUUACUACUCUCUUUCCUUGCCUUUUCCCAUCUCAGCAUUUGUGCUACAGUGCCAGAGGGGCCAGCAUGCUCAUGCUACAUGUGUGGGUGUUAUCUGUCUUCUCUUUUGUGUAAUAUACCAUACCUUUCCUUCUGAAAAAGACAAUAAUUGUGAAAAGGUGACACUUUAUUUCUGUCCACAUAUCUUCCCCUUCCCCCGAUUAGACUCAGUUUGUUGCACAGCAAAAAUUCAAAUGUUCCAAGGUUCUCAGAGGGAAUGCCAUCUUGCCAGGUGGAGAGAACAUCCAAACUGAAUGUAUGCUCCAGCAUAAGGCUGUCACAAAAGAUUUUAUUAAUAUUUAAUAAUGAAGGUGGAAACUUCUCAUGAGAAGUUAAAAUAUAAUUAUGACUUCAGCGUGCGUUUUGAGUCCAGAAUAUACAUGAUUUCCAUUUGAAUAUUGUCACCAUCAUGUUAAGAAGAAAAUAAUUGGCCAUGUUUUUCUUGUGCCUAGCACUUGGAGAUGUUUUCUUUACAUAGAGAUUCCAUGGAGUAGGUCAUAAGGGCAGUAAACUAUUAAGUGGUUCACCAUAUCGACUAGGACAAAGCAUGGCAAAGGCAGAGCCAAACCUUCUCCUGCUUGUAACUGCCAUGAUAAAUCAGCUGCUGGAUGUCUGGGUGAUUUGUUUUUCUAUUUUCGGCCACCUUCUGUUUCAAAAUGUCUGGACUGACUGUAGAACUUGGAUAAUGUUCAGCCUUCGAAAAUAGGAAUGGAGUUCUUUGUAGUUAAAUCAACAUUCCUUUUAGCUUUCUUUAGAAAUGUUUUGCAUGUUUGGAAUGCAAUGAAAGAUCUUUUCCCCUGAAAAUGUCCAAGGAUAGCUUCUUAUAGUUUAUGAACAUGAAUAUUUUGCUGUCAUAGGCACAUGAGCCAGGCUUGCCUGCUGAUACUCUAGGUAGCCUGAUAACAUUCUUGCUGUCUGAAUUAUAUAGGAAGCAUAAUAACUGAUGGUUUAGUAUGCUGCACAUUCAUUAUUAGAUUUGUUGCUGAUGUCUUUUUUUUGUUAAAAUUCAUGCUAUGGCUUUCAUUAUUUGGUUCAGAAAAAAAAUAUUUUAAGGAUAACAACUAGGUUUUAUUGAUUGUGCAGGUCAUGCUUGAUAUAAAUUAAUAUUUAUGCAUAAUAAACCAUCAAAUUACUUGUUAGGCACUGUGGUCUUUGCGGCAUUCUUGCUGUCUGCUGCUAUGGUUAUGGUGAUAAAAAAACAGUUGCAUAAUUAAGUUAAUGAAUAAGCUCACUUUUUUGCUUUUACAUAUCAUUAAGUCAUUUCAUGUCCUUUUGACUAGUUAGUUAAUCCCCCAGCCAUCUUGAUCGUAGGCUAACUUUGUUUCAUAUCUUGCCCACUCCUUUCCUCUCCUCCUCAAUAGUUCAUUAUCAUGUUUCCAGUGGGUGCCUUUUUCUUUCUCAUAUAUAGUAGUUCCCAUCUGAAGCCAUUUUAUGGAUGCCUGAUCUUGUUUAUCAGUGGGAUGUGGCUUGGCUACCACCAUCAUCUUUGUUUCACAUCUUUUGUAGUGUUGUUGAUGCCUGUGCAUCUGCUCACUUCUUUGCUCAUAACUCAAUAAUUUUGAAAGUUUGAAUGAGGCAUCAUCCUUCAAAGCCUCAGAGCCAGCUCUUGAUCUUGUUGGUUCUCCAGGUUUCUAAGGCAUAAUGUAAAGACUGAGUGCACAUUUGAUCUGUAAGUUUUCCAUUUGAACAUGAUCUCUAGAUGUUCUGCAGCUUGUUGAAAGCUUGUGCUGCAAGAGUUAUUCUGGUUGAGAUCUCGUUUUUAAUGUUGCUUUAUGGGUGCCAAGAUACUUGAAGUCCUGCACUUCUUCCAAAUCCGCACCACGUACCUUUGUUUUCAAUUUGCUCUUGUUUUUUACUUUCAUCACCUUGGUCUUGUCAGAAUGAAUCUUGUGUCUGGUCUUCUUCUCCUGGAUAUCUUUCUGGGUGUGUAAAUGCAGAGACUUGUCAUCUGCAAAGUUGCAGUGUUCUGAUCUGGCUAUUAGUUCCAUGCUGUUUGUGUCCAGUGUCUCUCCUCAUUAUACAAUCAGUAACAACAGACAAGAGGAGAGGAGAUUACACAUCCCUAUCUGACUCUUGACUUCACAUGAAAACACUAGCUUUGGUGCCCUUCCUGACUUAUACAACACUGAUUGCUGGCUUACAUGUUUUUCAGGAUGAUGGUUACUUUUGGUGGAAAUGUGUAUGCUUCUAGUACAAAGGGGAUGGAUGCUAUCAAAUGCUUGUUCAAAGUCGAUGUAAUAUAUGUUAAAGCAGGGAAUUCCAUUCAAGUAAAUUCUCCACCAUGAUGCAUAUGAUGAAGAUCUGGUUGUGCAUUCUGCCUGUUAUUCUCUUGUGAUCCUCUCAAUGGCUUAUCUCGUAUUCUGUAGGGUGGCCCAGUGGUGCAGGCAUUAGUGCCUGUCACCAAUACAGAGAAGGUUGUAUGUCCUGGGUCAACUCUUGUCUUGAGCACACUGCUCUUUCCCUAUAUGUGAUAUAUUCUUUACAGGACUGUGCUGUGAUAUAGCCUUAGUUGCUGGAUCAAUAUAAAACACCAAUUUUCCCCCUCAUACUCUUAAAAACUCUGGUACUGAUAGUAGAUCAAUUCCUUUCCAGUUUCCUCACACUGGAUGGUCACUUUUCUUAGAUAACUUCACAACGAUGCCUUUCUUCCAUGUUUCUGGAACCAUGCUUUGUUGAAGAGUUCUUUUUGCGCCAUGGUGCCAGUAGUGGGUCUCCUUUAGAAUAUCUGCAGUUUUCACCAAGUGUCCUCUUUCCUUCUAUCUCUUGCUGUGUGUCCACAUUUCAUUUCGAUGUUGAAGCCUGUAUCUUCUGUCAUUGCUUCUUUAUUUGGGUCUGGUCUAUUUAAUAUAUCUUUGACGUGAAAAUUCUCCGUUUGUUGAGUUUAUCUUCCUCUUUCAUAAGAACUUUGCCAUUCCUGUCCUUCACUACCAUUAUCUCACCGGUAAAUCCUCCAGUGAAGGUCUUGGUGAUUUUUUUCAGCUGCCGAAUGUGCUCUUUUUGCUAAAUUGUCUGUGGAUUGUCUUUUAUCCUUGCAAACACUCCUCUUCACAGCGAUGUUGUUUACUAUGCAGUCUUCUCUUCCUUGCUCCCUGGCAGUGGAUGUUGCCUUUUUGCCCUAUUGUCUUUAAUGAGCUGCCAGGUGCUUUUAAGAACCAGUCCUUCUCUCUCUCUUUUUAUUUGUAGCCCAGCUCAUCUUUGGUGGGAUUGAAGAAUGCCUUCUGUACAUGAUCACAGAGGGUUUUGAUGUCAUCUUUAGGCAUGUCUUCCAAGGCCUGAAACCUGUUGGUCAGCUCCCCAAAGAACCGGGUCUUCACUGUUGAGUCUUUCAAUUUGCUUGAAGCAAAGAGUUGUUCAUUGUUCAUCUUUCUUGUCAUCUUUAACUUGUAACUUGAACAAGACAAUGGUUGCUGCUGGCAAUCGCCCAUCUCGGUACUGACAUUUCUCAUGGGACCCCGUCUAUGUCAGUGGCAGUGUGGUCGUUUUGAUUACUGGUUCUCCUGUAUGGUGAUGGCCAAGUCAUCUUGUAAAUGGGAUUAUGCUGUAAGACAGUGUCACCAAUCACCAGUCCAUUUUCUAGACACCUUUCCAAGAAUCGCUGUCCAUUGCCAGUUCUCCUUGUCCCAUGCAGGAUUCGCAUCCUACCUUCACAUUAGUCACUCAUCACAAUGAGCAUGUCAUGUGGUAUUUUGUUUAUCUGGUCUUGCAGGUUGCUGUAGACAAGUCUUUCUCCUUCUCUGUGCCUUGUUCUGUUGGCACAUAGUUCUGUGAAAUGGUAAUCUUUGUGUACCUGGAGAAGAACCUUACUUCGAUGAUCUGAAUGCUAACCAGCUUCCACCCUAAAUACUUCCCCUUUUUUGUUCAUGAUGAUCCCUACUUCCUCUUUGUGUUGACCAUUUGUGCAUCCUUAGUAACACACUGUCUCUUCUCAACUGAUGGUGAGGUUGCUUGAGUCUUACCACACUAGCUUCACUUGCCCACAUGUUCCAGUCUGCCACUCUCACUUGUUUGGGUUUUUCCAAGCAUUCAAUGGAGAAUAGACUUUUUUCUAUAUAUAUUUUUCACUCUUCAUACAAGGCAUUGCUGCCUCAAUUCUCAUCACCCAAUGUUUGAUGACUUUCUAAUGAAUUUAUCAGCAUUUCUAUAACCUCUUUUUUUCUGCAUGUUCCUAGCCCUAUGCACAAUUCCUCCCCCCCCCCCUUUUCUCAUUGUAGACUUGGGACUAGUCAGUGGUGAAGUUUCUUGGCUAGGAAUAGGACCAAAAAAUAUGGCAUUUAUGCAUAAUUUAAAAUUCAAGAUACAUAAAUGCUAUAAAAUUAAAACUAAACUGUAUUAUGCAUGAAAGGUUUUAGGUCUUUUACAAGAUUUAAAAGCUGUUAAUGAGUCCCAUAUCUGGCAUAUCAUAUUAUUCUUUUCUGAUCAUUUAAGUAAAUAGCAUUUUUGAUUGAAAUCAUUAGACUUGCAAAAUGCCUUUGAUACUGUUGAGCAUUUUAUACUUUUAAACCGACUUUAGAACUCUUUUUGGCUUUUAUGCUGUUGCCUGAUUUUUGUCCGAUCUAAUGUGUACUCAGAUGCUCUUUUGAUAUGUGAGGGACUGUACGUCUUGGGAUCUGUUCUUUUUGUGCUGUAUACUUCUUCUCAGUCUGACAUUAUCACUUGCCAUGCCAUGUGACAUCGGUGUUUUACUGAUGGUACACAGCUUUAGCAAUCAACUCUGCUUGCUGAAGUUGAUGUACUGAUGAUGUGGAUACAGGAAUGUAUUAGUUAGUUAGUUAUGCCCUUCGCCCCUCCUGGUGCAUAGGCCAUCGACGACCGCCCUCCAACGCCUCCUGUCCUGGGCUACCGUCACCAGCUGACCCCAUCCAAAUCCGGUGAGCUUGGUGUCGGCGGCGAGGUCCCGUCUCCAGGUGUUUCUCGGCCUUCCUCGCUUUCUCUUUCCCUGGGGGUUCCAUGUCCACGUGCCCAUGGAAAGUGUUUUCCUGGUCGAUAGAAGGGUGGUCGGUGUUGUAGCUUCCGAAGAUCGGCUUUCACCGCAACACGUCAUACUCCCUCUAGGUGAAGGCCCUUCCUCUUCCAGGACUGUUGGCCAUUGUUUUGCUGUUGUCGAUGUUUUUGUAGCAAGGGUUUGUUUUACGGGGUGGGGGUGCUAGCCCCACGCCCAACCCUCCUCCUUUUCCAGCCGGGCUUGGGACCGUCCUUGGCGGAGUUUACAGGAAUGUAUGGCGGAUGUAAAGACUUGAAUGACCUAAAACAGACUGCAACUAAAGGAAAGAAUUGUUGCAAUGUCCUGAGAAAUUUCUUGGUCACCAUUCUCUUCUCAUUCUUAUGCCAGAAAAAGUUCUCUAUUCAUUUUUCUGCUUUUUUUUCACAGUUUAGGUGUCAUUCUUGAUUAGACUUUGAAUUUCUGGCAUCAUACUGCUCACCUUUGAAAGAUUAGUUCAGGAUAUCAUUAUCUCACCACUGAUGUAGCCAAAAUGCUAGAUUGACUGUUGUUAGCCUUCAAAACAACACUUGUUUAUGUAUAGAUAUCUAGAGCUGAACAUAUAAUAUCCAUCAUCUUGUUCACUGCCUGUUACUCAUCAUAUAGCUUAUCCUUACUGUUUGUUCCGAUUCCUCUUUGGGUCUUUUAUACUUUUCUUCUAACACCAGGCUUUUUUUUUCCUACCCACCCCUCUCAACCUUGAACAAAAUUACCUGUUAGCCUACUCAAAUUCCUUGACCUCCUUUAAAUCUAAACUUAAGAUUAAUUUUUUUUAUCAUAUGCUGUGAUUGUGGAAUGUUCAUGUUUGUAAUAUGUGUGUGCACAUGCAUGCAUGUCUCUACAGGAUUAGGUCUGUAUUGGUGUUUCUCCUAUGUGUGAAGCGCUCAGAAUAUUUUUUGCUAAAAGUAUGAUAUAAAUAUUCAUCAUUAUUAUCAAUAAGUGACAUGACAAAGAUAAGUAUUUUUAAAAAAAUCAGUCAGUCCAUCAGUAAUCAAAGCCACAUCACAGUUUUAGACAAUUGUACAAUUGUGGUGUGUAUUUAGUGACUGUCUUUAAAAUGGCAUGUAUACUUUGUGAUUUGCAAUUUUUUAAAAUUUUCAGGAGACAGCAUAACAUCAGAAAUUUCAGGUGUUUAAAGGAGUGCUUUGCUAUAUACGUCUGUUGGAAGUUUUUGUUUUUGGUUUGGCUUGAGUUUUGCUUGUUCAGGGGGUGCAUUCUUGCUUACCUUAGUCUUAAAUCCUAUGGUUGUGACAAACCCUAGCAUACUUAUUUGCUGCUAGUCAUUGUAUUAAAACACAUACUGAGAUUUCUGUACAGUUUUUCAUCUGUAUAGCAACUUAGCAAUUUUUGUUUAUUGACCCAGUUGUUAUACAUUUGCACACAUGGAUAUGAUACAGACUGUGGUUUACAUUUUGAUAUUCAUCAUUACCAGUCAGUUAAAUAAUUGUGAUCAAC
RNAcentral lists this unclassified non-coding RNA (15357 nucleotides) under Pomacea canaliculata. RNAcentral's name for it is "beta-TrCP-like, transcript variant X1". The record is from RNAcentral. Lineage: Eukaryota; Metazoa; Mollusca; Gastropoda; Architaenioglossa; Ampullariidae.